CCUGAUCCAGCCAUGCCGCGUGAGUGAAGAAGGCCUUAGGGUUGUAAAGCUCUUUUGGCGGGGACGAUAAUGACGGUACCCGCAGAAUAAGCCCCGGCUAACUUCGUGCCAGCAGCCGCGGUAAUACGAAGGGGGCUAGCGUUGUUCGGAAUCACUGGGCGUAAAGCGUACGCAGGCGGAUUGAUAAGUCAGGGGUGAAAUCCCGGGGCUCAACCUCGGAAUUGCCUUUGAUACUGUCUGUCUUCGAGUUCGGGAGAGGUUGGCGGAAUUCCUAGUGUAGAGGUGAAAUUCGUAGAUAUUAGGAAGAACACCAGUGGCGAAGGCGGCCAACUGGCCCGAUACUGACGCUCAUGUACGAAAGCGUGGGGAGCAAACAGGAUUAGAUACCCUGGUAGUCCACGCUGUAAACUAUGGAUGCUAGCCGUUGGGGAGCUUGCUCUUCAGUGGCGCAGCUAACGUCUUAAGCAUCCCGCCUGGGGAGUACGGUCGCAGAUUAAAACUCAAAGGAAUUGACGG
Molecule: ribosomal RNA, 516 nt
Filed under: Rhodomicrobium udaipurense
Lineage: Bacteria; Pseudomonadati; Pseudomonadota; Alphaproteobacteria; Hyphomicrobiales; Hyphomicrobiaceae
Description: bacterial SSU rRNA
Rfam family: Bacterial small subunit ribosomal RNA
Source: RNAcentral